CAGCAUGGAUGGACCUGGAGAGCAUUAUGCUAAGUGAAAUAAGCCUGGUGGCAAAAGGCAAAUACCAUAUAAUCUCACCUAUAAGUGGAACCUAAUGAACAAAA
Phyllostomus discolor (pale spear-nosed bat) is the source of this 104-nucleotide long non-coding RNA. RefSeq lists it as uncharacterized. Lineage: Eukaryota; Metazoa; Chordata; Mammalia; Chiroptera; Phyllostomidae. The transcript is spliced from 2 exons. The record is from RefSeq and is a predicted model, not a curated record.